GUUAAAUGUUUUAUCAAGCUCAAGUUCAAUUUUUUUAUCAAGAUCCCUCGAUGGCACAUGCAAGGUAUGGGACCUUGUUACUGGAAGACUUUUACAAACUCGAGCUUUUCCACUACCAAUUACUGCAAUAGUUGUUGAUCCAACAGAGAUGAAGUUAUUUUCUGGUGGUAUAGAUUACUAGUGGAUAUUUCUUUUUUGUAUACGGGGGACAUCAUUUUUGUA
This is a long non-coding RNA of Camellia sinensis, 222 nucleotides long. RefSeq lists it as uncharacterized. The record is from RefSeq and is a predicted model, not a curated record. NCBI's taxonomy places the organism in Eukaryota, Viridiplantae, Streptophyta, Magnoliopsida, Ericales, Theaceae.